AUGUCAGUUUUCUCUCUCACAAUAUCAUCUUCCUGCCAGGACCUCAUGUUCUCCCUUUCUCAGUACAUUUACUCCUCCUUCCUUCUCAGGUUUUUAACUCAUAUCAUAUAUGGCUGGUGCGGCGCAGUCCUACUGCUCUUCCUCCACUUCCUGCUGAUCCCGUCUUUCAUCUCCCAGAUACUCCGCAGCGGCAAGGGGAGUGGGUUCCCAGCACUAGGCCAGCGCUGUGCUCCAUAUACAUUUAAGACGUGUGGCACUCUUCUACAUGCCCGGGAGAAAUUGGAUAAUGAGUGUGAGAUCCAAUCAACUUCGGGGGCAUCCAUUCAAUUUUCUGCCUGGCUGCCACCAGGAGAUGGUAAUGUGUGCUGAUACACUGACUGGGGCCAGGCUCAGAAGUCCUGAUUGAAAACAUCUGUCCAUUCCUCUCUUUCGCUCACACACACACACACACACACACACACCACCUCUGCUGGCUCUGCAGAGCAGAUUCUCUCCAUCUAUUUGUGCUUAUUUCAGAGUUCCAGAGUAGGCAGCGUGAAAUGUGAUGCAUUAGAAGAUUUUAGCACUUUUUUUUUUAGGUUUUUCUGAUAAAAAUGUGAACUUAAUUAACAUGUGCCCUGUUUAAACACACUUAUAUAACUAAAGCCAAGUUAAAUACAUUAUACAUGCUGUAUAUGUGUGUGUGUGUGUGUGUGUAUGUGUAAAACUCAAAUAAACUCUGCUAUCUGCCAGACUAAUUACAUAAAAUACUGCGACCUAAAGCAAGACCUACAUUUUCCUACAUUAUAUAUUAUAAUCACCCGUCACCCUCGUGCCAGUGUCCUGCUCUUCUAUGCAGUGACAACAUGAAAGUGUAUGUGUGUGUGGCUUUCAUCAGAACACCUGUGGAGGAGACGAUAUUAAAGAACACACAUGUUUGCCUAACCUUCCUCAGAUAAGCAUCAGCCAGAGCAUUUAGUGCCAGGCAGCACUACACACACGCACGAACACGCACACACACACACACACACACACACACACACACACACACACACACACACACACACACACACACACACACACACACAUUUGAAGGUCACAAUCACACUGUAACAAGGAGCUAAUAAAGACAAGAGGUUUUUCCCCUUCUUUAUCUGUCUCAACUUCUCUGUAUAACAAUUAAAUGUCACAAUUAUACAGGACUGUGAUGUAUCUAGUCCCAAAGCAUUUAUUAAAAAAAGAAAGAUAGAUCAGCAAAAUAUUUUCACCAGUAAUGAGCUCAGUGCCCUUUCUGACAAGGUCAGGGACACAAUUAAUAGAUUUUGCUUGUUUAAAUGAACAUUUUAAGAACCUGUGCCAGCUUUGGGGCAGCUUCUGCCUAAUCUGAGACCAAAUCGAGCCUCGAAAACAUCAUUUGGGGGGUCCGGGGUCCCUGUUUUACGCUCACCGUUUUAUGUAAUAAUAAUAGUUACUGCGGCAAUAAUAAAGAUUUUACAGAAAAGCAGCCAUAAAUCUGCCAAUCGCGUCCCCUGUCUGGUCACCAUAAAUCGUGGUCAUUACAACUUAAUGACGUCGCCCGCGCGCUCCUCUAAUUAAUACGCGGCCCGCGGGCUAUAAUUAACGCCCUGGAAAGAACAGAAUGCGAGGGGAUUAGGGCGGCCGCUAAUAUGCGGUCACAAAGGGACAGUGAGGGCUGGACAUUCCUGCGCUGCUGCGCGCUAAUCCUCCGGGGAGACCCCUCGCCCGGAUCCCCGGGGGUCCGGAGGGCGCAUUGUCCGCGGAAAAUCCCCCAGAAAAUCAACUUAUUUACGGCAGAUUAUUAGGCGGCGACUGUAAAACGAGCCCCUAACCAGACGAGGACAGAUUUACGACUCGCAACAAGCCCCGCGUUUAUCUCUGGCCGCGCACUUCAUGCCGACCACGUUUUAACCUGCACAAAUUAAGUGGCGUAAUAAAUUAGCAAUAACCUGUUAUGUCGUGUUUAGUACUAUAUAUUCGUGCUUUUGCUUUAUUUGAUUAUUUGUCGCCGGCCGCCCCGCGGCGAGUCCCCGCUGCUCCGCGCGUUUUGUUUGCGACCUUUCCAGGUUGAUUGUGUUUGUUAAUUAGUCGCUAACAGCGCAGUAAUGCGGGGUUGAUGGAUGGCCAUGUCGCCGGGACUCGGCGCGUUGCCUUGUGGCGGGUCGCAGAUCGGCUCGGCCGCGGCUCCCCCCCAGUUAUAGAGAAAGAAAUCAUUCAAUCCGUCAAUCCGUAACGCAAUUAAAAGGCGAGUGUAAUAAAGACGGCGUCCAUCAUGGUUCAUUAGGACGGCGACCCCGGCGUGACCUCGCAAAUCAGAGUCCUCCAGAGAAAGAUUUAUUUCGGGCUCCGGUGCUGCGGGGAUCAUUUGAGGCUCGCACCAGAUCCCAGGCCGGAAUGCCUUAUCUCGGCCGAGUUAAACGGCGCUUCGGCAGUGUCCUGUUAUUCUUCCAGCCUCCUGCCCCUUUCCCGAGCUUCGCGAUGUCUGUUUUUCAUUUCAACUUUUACUUCCACGACCCCAGAGACAUAAUUAUACACAUUUUCCUUUCCAGAGCCCGGCUGAAGCUGAGCCAGGAGAAGGCGCCAUUUCUGUUUAUUUGCUAUCGCUAAUUAGCUAAUGCUAAUCUUUUUUUCUAUAAAAAUAAACCUUACGUUGUUACUCACAUCAACGUUUUUUUUACGCUAUGUUCAUUAAUUAUGCAGACUAGUAACAAUUUGGCGUUACCUAAGCGGUGAUAAAGUAAUUUAAUGAGACACAGUUAUAAGCACAGAUACUAAUGUGCUAUUAAUUAUUAGUCUUCAACGCAACACGUUCGCUGACAGUCAUUCUUUCAGCAGCUGGCGCGUGCCAUUACAGUCUGCCCAGUGAUUGGGCCACAUCGUGGCACGUGACUCGAGGGCAUUUCGUCGUGGGACAUGUAGUUUCCCUCUCCGCUCAGUUCUGCGCAGUCUUGCGACGAAGAACUACAGCCCUCACAGCUGGCGCGAGCGAGGCGAGCUGUCAAUCACGGCGACGUCGGAGGCGCGCGGUGCGGGUGCGCGCACGGCCAGCGGGGUCUGCAGGCGGACGGCAAGUGUCACCAUGAUCGACCUUAUAUGGAAGCGGCAUAUAUCAUAACUGCAGGAUGGUGGCGACGACGGCGAUGAGGACGCGAGCGCAGGGCGUCUGAAGCUGGGCUGCACCGGAUCGCCGCGAGCGGCGCCGCCGUGUGCCGGGCUGCUUGGCGGAGGCUGGAGGAGGAGAAGCAGAUACUUUCUGU
Molecule: long non-coding RNA, 3254 nt
Organism: Denticeps clupeoides (denticle herring)
Lineage: Eukaryota; Metazoa; Chordata; Actinopteri; Clupeiformes; Denticipitidae
Source: Ensembl